This 466-nucleotide ribosomal RNA is filed under the name uncultured bacterium. RNAcentral's name for it is "bacterial SSU rRNA". It matches the Rfam family "Bacterial small subunit ribosomal RNA", at positions 8 to 518 of the family's 1533-position model. The record is from RNAcentral.
AGGGUUCGAUUCUGGCUCAGAAUGAACGCUGGCGGCAUGCCUAACACAUGCAAGUCGAACGAAGGCUUCGGCCUUAGUGGCGCACGGGUGCGUAACGCGUGGGAAUCUGCCCCUUGGUUCGGAAUAACAGUUAGAAAUGACUGCUAAUACCGGAUGAUGACGUAAGUCCAAAGAUUUAUCGCCGAGGGAUGAGCCCGCGUAGGAUUAGCUAGUUGGUGUGGUAAGAGCGCGACCAAGGCGACGAUCCUUAGCUGGUCUGAGAGGAUGAUCAGCCACACUGGGACUGAGACACGGCCCAGACUCCUACGGGAGGCAGCAGUGGGGAAUAUUGGACAAUGGGCGAAAGCCUGAUCCAAGCAAUGCCGCGUGAGUGAUGAAGGCCUUAGGGUUGUAAAGCUCUUUUACCCGGGAUGAUAAUGACAGUACCGGGAGAAUAAGCUCCGGCUAACUCCGUGCCAGCAGCCGC